Long non-coding RNA from Drosophila arizonae, 239 nucleotides. RefSeq lists it as uncharacterized. NCBI's taxonomy places the organism in Eukaryota, Metazoa, Arthropoda, Insecta, Diptera, Drosophilidae. The record is from RefSeq and is a predicted model, not a curated record.
AUUCCACAUCAGACUUAAAGCGAAUCAAUCGCAGCACAGACUUACUUUAUAUACAUACACAAGAUACAUAGACUAUAUACAAUCAACAUGCAAUUGAUCAAGAUUUGCGGCUUUGUCUUUGCUCUGAUUGUGGCUAUGGCCAGCGCUGAGCCGGAGCCUCAAGGCACGCUGCUGAUCCAAACAAAUAGGGGUCAGGGCAUUUUCAGAGGCUAAAACUUAACUUUUCGAGUUAACUUAAA